This is a non-coding RNA of Podarcis lilfordi (Lilford's wall lizard), 3936 nucleotides long. The record is from the annotation of a GenBank genome assembly. Lineage: Eukaryota; Metazoa; Chordata; Lepidosauria; Squamata; Lacertidae.
GCCAGAGGUGGCCGGGCUAUGCCUUCUGGGCUCUGGUGAGUCUCCUCUCCCCCAUGGGGCGCUUCGGCGAGAUGGGGAGGGUGCAUGGGGGGCUGCUCAGCUCAUGCAGCGGGGACCCCAGCCAGGGAGCAGAUCUUCUGCCCCUUCCUCUCUGCAAAGCCAGGGAGGGGGCGAGUUUGUAGGAGGUCCUUUGGGGAGGCGUCUUUGCGUUAGGAAAAAAUGGGAAUGCAAAUGAACCCCAUUUAGAUUGCGGAGUUGGUCACAUUCAUUAACGGAGGUCACAGCGAUUCACAGAGGUCUUAGCCAGAUGGCAACAUUUGGACGUAGAAAUAAUACUUGGCCUAUGGGAUAAGCGAAUAAAAAUGCUGGACAGGUCUUGCCAGAUAGAAGAAAGUCCUUUCAUCACGCAGUGCGUAGUUAAACCGAUGGCACUCCCUCCCACAGGAAGCAGGGAUGGUCACCAACCUAGGCGGCUUUAAAAAAAGGUUGUGGCCAAUUCUUUUUGUUCUAUUUAAAAAUCCUUUUAUCCAGCUUAAAUCUCUCUGCCAGCUGUAAUUGAGAAAACCACUGGAACAUUCAACAUUGCAUAGCCAACAUUCAAGAGCCCUUGUGGUUGUCCUUAGAUUAAUUGUCAUUUUUCCUCUUCUAUUGCCUAUGAAACAAUAUAAAGUGUUGGUCUGUUGAUGAACGGGGAGCGGGGGGUGUUUCCAAAGCAAGAUGGUUCUACAUAUACCUGGGGGCUUAUGUGAAUCCCUCAUGUGAGCACCUUGUAUUGGUCACAGAAAUGAAAUAGUAACCAAUGCAGGUGUUUAUAUGAUUUAAAUGGGUUAAAUGAGGAGGGAUAGACCCAUGAAUGCCACCUGAAGCUCUUUGGAGAAAAAGGUGGGAUAGAAACAUUAUUUUUAAAAUAGAAGGAAUCCAGUUUAUUAUUUGGCCACUGCAUUUUUGACCAGAAUCUGAGUUGUCUUCCAGGGCAGUUCCACCUAGAGGGUGAACAGGGUAGAGUUGGUCUCACCCAGCUGUGCCCACCUGGGUACUCAGUGCUGCAUCAGGCCAGACUCGAGGGUGGGGAGGGGGAGCUGCUGUGGUCUGUAGAGAUUCUCUAUCUUCAGGCUCUGUCCAGUGGGGGGUGUCUAGAGUGUGUGUUCCUGAUGUUGGGCAAUCGGGACAGAUUAGGGAUUCUGCUGGUUUACCACCCACCUUGCUACCCAGCAGUCUCCCUGCCUGAGCUGACAGAAUUGGUCUUGGAGGCAGUGUUAAGCUCUCCCAGACUGCUGGUUCUGGGAGACUUCAACAUCCACGCCAAGGCAGCUGGCUCUGGGGCGACUUCGUGGUCGCCAUGACAACCAUGGGGUGAGGGCGUGGUGCACCGUCUGUGGGGGUGUGGCACCCAGUGCGGGGGGGGGGGGCAGCUGCAAUGGCACCCUGCUGGAAUCAUGCCGCUGGGGGUGGUGCACUCCCCCCCCAAAACCCCUCUUCCUCCUCCAGUGCUUCUAGGCACAAUUCGAAGUGCAGGUUUUGACCUAUAAAGCAGCCCUGUUUAGGGAAGCUUUUAAUGUUUAAUUGAUUUUUGUAUUUUAGUGUUUUGUUGGAAGCCGCCCAGAGUGGCUGGGGAAACCCAGCCAGAUGGGCGGGGUAUAAAUAAUAAAUUAUUAUUAUUAUAUUAUUAUUAUAAAUGGCUCAGGACUGUAAUACCUCAAGGACUGCCUCUCCCCAUUUGAUCCUACCCAGACCCUGAGAUCACCUUCUAAGGCUCUCCUUCAUGUGCCUUCUCCUUGAGAGAUCCAGAGGGUGGCAACACCAAAACGGGGCCUUCUCUGCCAUGGCUUCCAGUCCAUGGAAUGUUCUCCCCAGCACCUUCCCUGGGGAAGGUCUCCUGGUGCCUUCAUUAUACACCUUUAGGUGCCAGGCAAAAAAGUUCCUUUUUAACCAGGCCUUUGGUUGAUUUGAUUGGCAACCUAUGCCCUUUAAAAAAUUUUUUGGGGGGGGGUAUUAUUUGGUUGUUUUUAUUUUGAUUAUGGAUUUUGUGGUUUUAUUUUUUGAUUUUAUUCUGUAAACCGCCUUGAGACCUACGGGUAUAGGGCGGUAUAUAAAUUCAAUGAAGAAGAAGAAUAUUGCCUUGGGUCCAAAUUUUUAAAAAGGUAAAGGGACUCCUGACUGUUAGGUCCAGUCACGAACAACUCUGGGGUUGUGGCGCUCAUCUCGUUUUACUGCCCAAGGGAGCCAACUUUUGUCCGCAGACAGUUUUCCCGGGUCAUGUGUCCAGCAUGACUAAGCCGCUUCUGGCAAAACCAGAGCAGCACACAGAAACGCCGUUUACCUUCCCGCCGGUACCUAUUUAUCUACUUACCCUUUGAUGUGCUUUCGAACUGCUAGGUUGGCAGGAGGUGGAACCAAACAAUGGGAGCUCACCCCGUUGCAGGGAUUCGAACCGCCAAGCUUCCGAUUGGCAAGCCCAGAGACUCAGUGGGUUACCCCACAGUGCCACCCACGUCCUGGGUCCAAAUUAUACCUAUUACAAAUGUUUCACUCGUCAAUCACCAUUCUGAUUUCAUUCCUUCUAAUUAUUUUCAAAAGAAUGCGGGCUGUGAUUCCUAGCAAGACUCAUUCAUGCUUGCCCAUGGAACAUUUUUCCUCUCCUGGUUGUGUAUCAGUUUUAUAACAGAACAAUGCAUUUGUUUUGUAGGAUUUUCUAGCACCUCUCAUUAGGAAAGACCAAGGGGUUUCUUCCAAUCUCUUAGAGGUGACGUGAUAACAUAGAUGGAUGAGCAAUAUUCAGCUGGCCCUGAAGCAGGAAUAGGCCUUGCCAUCAAAACUGGGCGCAAUGGUGGAUUCUGGGGAAGCUAUUUGCAGAAGAUCCUGGAUGAGGAGAACACCCUCUACUCAGAUGUGCAGAGCCAGCAACUCAGACAGGAGGCCAAAGGACCCCGAGAGAUUUGCAGCCAACUCUACCACUUUUGCCACCAGUGGCUGAAGCCAGAAAGGCACAUGAAAGCUCAGAUGUUGGACCUGGUGAUCUUGGAGCAGUUCCUGGCUGUCCUUCCUCCAGAGAUGGAGAACUGGGUGAAGGAAUGCAGAGCGGAGACCAGUUCCCAGGCAGUGGCCCUGGCCGAAGGUUUCCUCCUGAGUCAGGCAGAGGAGAGAAAGCAGGCAGAGCAGCAGGUGAGAGAGACUUCCUCUGGAAACUCCCAAGGGGCUCCAAAGAGGAGGGAGAAUAUCCCCAAAUGCUCUAGUACAGAGGUUUUCACCUUUUCUGAGUCCAUGGUUCCCUUGAUCAAGUACAUCCUUUCUGCAUGGGGAAAUGCUCUUUGAGCCUUAGAAAUCCAGUUAUGUCACCCUGUGCCUGCUGCCUCACCCCUUUUCAAACACCCUCCUUUGUGGAAUGUUCCCUCAGCCUCCUCUCCCCUCUCCUUGGGAGUCCUCCCGGUAGGGAUGGGCGAUAUCUGGUUUUCAAGCAGUUAAGUAUCACGAUAUCUCAGUAUAUCAUGAUAUAUAUCUGCCGUGGUAGAGGGCCUUGCUGGGCCUCCCCAUGGGAGCAGAGGGUCCCACCAUACCUCCUCACAGUGGCAGAGGGUGUGCUGCCUUUCCCCGCAGCAGACGAGGGCCUUGACGAGGUUCCCUGCGGCAGUGGAGGGCCUUCAGAUGUAAGGAAGUAGUAGAUUUAAUAAAAAUACUAAAUAAACUUUUCUACUCCUUCUCCCCAUUCUCUGUUUUGAAUCCAUGUUUCUCUUUCAGGGGAAGAAUCUUUUUGCAGAAAUGGGUCUUGAUUCUUCUGAGGCAGAGAAGACUCUGUUGGACGCCAGAAUGAGGCCUCUGGGUAAGGAGGAAGGAGUGUUUUCUGCGUUUUGUCACAUUCUCUUGGUUUUGAAACUAAUCUGUGAGUUCUUUACAUCUUUUAGGUGAAGACACUUGGAGUCCAGAGCUCAGGGGUGGGGG